RNAcentral lists this ribosomal RNA (433 nucleotides) under uncultured bacterium. Its description in RNAcentral is "partial 16S ribosomal RNA". It matches the Rfam family "Bacterial small subunit ribosomal RNA", at positions 29 to 507 of the family's 1533-position model. The record is from RNAcentral.
AACGAACGCUGGCGGCAUGCCUGACACAUGCAAGUCGAACGAGACCUUCGGGUCUAGUGGCGCACGGGUGCGUAACGCGUGGGAACCUGCCCUUAGGUUCGGAAUAACUCCCCGAAAGGGGUGCUAAUACCGGAUAAUGUCUUCGGACCAAAGAUUUCUCGCCUUUGGAUGGGCCCGCGUUGGAUUAGCUAGUUGGUAGGGUAAAAGCCUACCAAGGCGACGAUCCAUAGCUGGUCUGAGAGGAUGAUCAGCCACACUGGGACUGAGACACGGCCCAGACUCCUACGGGAGGCAGCAGUGGGGAAUAUUGGACAAUGGGCGAAAGCCUGAUCCAGCAAUGCCGCGUGAGUGAUGAAGGCCUUAGGGUUGUAAAGCUCUUUUACCCGGGAUGAUAGUGACAGUACCGGGAGAAUAAGCUCCGGCUAACUCCGUG